GCUCAUUGGUAUUGGAAAUUUCCUGAGGAUAUGGACUCUGGUUUGGUCUUCUUUAUUUCCCCUUGUAAAUAAAGGAAGGGCAUGAACAGAUAAACAGCUUACCAGAGGUCUCACUCUGAGUGGAGUGGAGCCAGAAGCCAGCUGCCAUCCUGCUUGGUGAGGCCCACCUGGUGAGAAACUGAAGCAUCUUGUCAGUAGCAAUGUGAGUGAGCUUGGGAACAGAUCUUCCAUACCAGUCAAAUCUUCAGAUGACUGUAAUCCCAGCCGACAUUUUGACUGCAACUUUAUGAGCUAGAACCGCACAGCUAAGCUGCUCUUAGAUUUCUGACUCAGAAGCUGUGUGAGCAUAAGUGCAUUGUUAUCAAUUGCUAAGUUUUGAGAUGAUUUGUUGUAGAUAAAUAAUAUACCAUAGAAUCAUGCUUGAGUUGCUCUUUUCAAAACCAGACCCUUCUUUAAUUCCGUGUAUCCCAUCAGCUCCUGUCACAUUUCCCUUUUCCUUUUUAAAACAUUUCCAUUUCUUACUUUGCUGUAUUUUUUCAGUCCAUUUCAGACUUUUGUUCUUACCACUCUAUUCAAAUUGCUCGUGUCAAAGUCACUGAAGACUUCAAUGUUACAUCCAAUAGUAAAUUUAUACAUACAUUUUUUAUCACAGUUGGCCUCUCCGGUUGGUAAUAUUUAACUUGAAGCAUUGUCUUUGCAUGGUUUCCAGGAAAAUCCAGUUUCCAUUUUUCAUUUCUCCUUCUCCUCAUCUUUCAGUGUUGCGUUUCCCUAGAGCCGUGUUUUGAUUAGUUAUUCCGAUUCUACACCUACUGAUUGUUCAGUUACACCAUACUGAAUAACAUUUGAAAAGUCAAGCAAUGGAUAAAGUUUCCCUGAACAUAAAAAAAAUCAGUGUCAAGAGGCUUUUUUUAUUUUUUAAUUUGGGCAGGGACUUUGGUCAUCCAAUAGAACCAAAUGUUCUCUGUUUUUUUCAGAAUUCUGUCUGAACACUAGUUAGGAAUGUUCCAUAACUGCCAGACUAAUAUAAUACAGAUAUUUAUAUAUAU
This 1046-nucleotide long non-coding RNA is filed under the name Homo sapiens (human). Its description in RNAcentral is "HSALNT0390687". Lineage: Eukaryota; Metazoa; Chordata; Mammalia; Primates; Hominidae. The record is from RNAcentral.